GUAGGGUGCGAGCGUUAAUCGGAAUUACUGGGCGUAAAGCGUGCGCAGGCGGUUUUAUAAGCCAGAUGUGAAAGCCCCGGGCUCAACCUGGGAAUGGCAUUUGGGACUGUAAGGCUGGAGUAUGGCAGAGGAGACUAGAAUUCCUGGUGUAGCAGUGAAAUGCGUAGAUAUCAGGAGGAAUACCGAUGGCGAAGGCAGGUCUCUGGGCCAAUACUGACGCUCAUGCACGAAAGCGUGGGGAGCAAACAGGAUUAGAUACCCUGGUGGUCCACGCCCUAAACGAUAUCAACUGGUUGUUGGGGGAUUUAUUCUCUUAGUAACGAAGCUAACGCGUGAAGUUGUCCGCCUGGGGAGUACGGUCGCGAGAUUA
This 370-nucleotide ribosomal RNA is filed under the name uncultured bacterium. Its description in RNAcentral is "bacterial SSU rRNA". It matches the Rfam family "Bacterial small subunit ribosomal RNA", at positions 527 to 896 of the family's 1533-position model. The record is from RNAcentral.